AGAUUGAACGCUGGCGGCAGGCCUAACACAUGCAAGUCGAGCGGCAGCACGGGUACUUGUACCUGGUGGCGAGCGGCGGACGGGUGAGUAAUGCCUAGGAAUCUGCCUGAUAGUGGGGGAUAACGUUCGGAAACGGACGCUAAUACCGCAUACGUCCUACGGGAGAAAGUGGGGGAUCUUCGGACCUCACGCUAUCAGAUGAGCCUAGGUCGGAUUAGCUAGUUGGUAGGGUAAAGGCCUACCAAGGCUACGAUCCGUAACUGGUCUGAGAGGAUGAUCGGUCACACUGGAACUGAGACACGGUCCAGACUCCGUACGGGAGCAGCAGGUGGGGAAUAGUUGGACAAGUGGGGACGAAAGCCUGACUCCAGCCAUCGCCGCGUGUGUGAAGAGGUCUUCGGAUUGAAGCUAGUUUAAGGUGGAGAAGGCAUUAACCUAGUACGUUAGUGUUUCGACGUUACCA
Molecule: ribosomal RNA, 463 nt
Filed under: uncultured soil bacterium
Lineage: Bacteria
Description: bacterial SSU rRNA
Rfam family: Bacterial small subunit ribosomal RNA
Source: RNAcentral